AGCAGUUUAGGGUUAUUAUCCUGACGCUGUCCCGGUUCGGGGCGACAGUUACUGCAACCGUAACAGAUACUCAAGUUCAGUUCUUUGUAGGAAAUGGAAAUGGGGGGAUGUUCACAUUUCCUAUUCUCAAGAAGCCGGAGCAGUGUAUUAUUGAGGGUGAUGUGGGGGCAAAUCCAGUUUCCUUGGUGCUCGAUCUCCGUCACGCUAGUGCAAUCCUGCAUGCUUCAGUCAUGUCAAAGACGGUGUGGUUGUUUUGCCAGUCCCAUGGUUCAUCUGUCAUGCUGAAUUGCCCUUUUGAUAGACUUGGUAACCUCUAUUAUUACUUUCCUGAAGCCUGAAGCCUGAAGGUGAUGACAAUGGUCUAACUCAAAUCAGAUUUUAAUACGGUUUGAUCACAAG
Non-coding RNA from Prunus avium (sweet cherry), 399 nucleotides. Lineage: Eukaryota; Viridiplantae; Streptophyta; Magnoliopsida; Rosales; Rosaceae. The record is from RefSeq and is a predicted model, not a curated record.